AGAUACCCGGGUAGUCCUAGCUGUAAACGAUGGAUACUAGAUGUAGGAACUGGAUUGACGGUUUCUGUAUCGUAGCUAACGCGUUAAGUAUCCCGCCUGGGGAGUACGGUCGCAAGACUAAAACUCAAAGGAAUUGACGGGACCCCGCACAAGCGGCGGAGCAUGCGGCUUAAUUCGAUGAUACCCGUAGAACCUUACCUGGACUUGACAUAUAGGGAAAAACUGGAGAAAUCCAGUGUGCGUAAGCGCCCUAUACAGGUGGUGCAUGGCCGCCGUCAG
This 279-nucleotide ribosomal RNA is filed under the name uncultured bacterium. Its description in RNAcentral is "partial 16S ribosomal RNA". It matches the Rfam family "Bacterial small subunit ribosomal RNA", at positions 780 to 1058 of the family's 1533-position model. The record is from RNAcentral.